This 21-nucleotide non-coding RNA is filed under the name Arabidopsis thaliana (thale cress). The record is from RNAcentral. Lineage: Eukaryota; Viridiplantae; Streptophyta; Magnoliopsida; Brassicales; Brassicaceae.
CGGUCCGAACGACGCUUCCGC